UAUAUAUAUAUAUAGAAUUAGGCUACUAUACUAUCUAUAGUACGGGAGCUCCCGUACUAUAGUGUUGUUUUCGAUCUUAGGUCGUUCAAAUCAACGAUCCACACCGUUAAAUAUGAUCUAGGGUAUAUGAAGUUCUUAGGAAUAAAAUUUUAGUUCUUUUCGAUAUCGUUUACUUAGUAAAUAAAUUUUGUCAAAAUGGACGGUGGGAAUUGAAUACUCUUUAAAAUUUGAGCAUAGGACUUUUAAAUUCAAGAUCAAGAAU
Molecule: long non-coding RNA, 262 nt
Filed under: Ananas comosus (pineapple)
Lineage: Eukaryota; Viridiplantae; Streptophyta; Magnoliopsida; Poales; Bromeliaceae
Description: long non-coding RNA (ACOM_LNC007793)
Source: RNAcentral